Molecule: unclassified non-coding RNA, 363 nt
Filed under: uncultured bacterium
Lineage: Bacteria
Description: contains 16S-23S intergenic spacer region
Source: RNAcentral
UCCCCGUUACCGGGGCAGUAUGAUUAGAAAAAUUCAACUAAUCACAAGGGUUGCGCUCGUUGAUGGACUUAACCAAACAUCUCACGACACGAGCUGACGACGGCCAUGCAGCACCUGUCACCGAGUUCCAAAAGGCACACUCUGCUUUCGCAGAACUUCUCGGGAUGUCAAGCCCUGGUAAGGUUUAUCGUUUACCGUCGAAUUAAAGAACAUGCUCCACCGCUUGUGCGGGUCCCCGUCAAUUCCUUUAUGUUUUAGCCUUGCGGCCGUACUCCACAGGCGGGAUGCUUAACGCGUUAGCUUCGCUACGGAAGGGGUCGAUACCCCCCACAGCUAGCAUCCAUCGUUUACGGCGUGGACUAC